This 524-nucleotide ribosomal RNA is filed under the name Morganella morganii. Its description in RNAcentral is "partial 23S ribosomal RNA". It matches the Rfam family "Bacterial large subunit ribosomal RNA", at positions 717 to 1238 of the family's 2925-position model. Lineage: Bacteria; Pseudomonadati; Pseudomonadota; Gammaproteobacteria; Enterobacterales; Morganellaceae. The record is from RNAcentral. RNAcentral also lists the same sequence under 1 other name.
GAAACCCGGUGAUCUAGCCAUGGGCAGGUUGAAGGUUGGGUAACACUAACUGGAGGACCGAACCGACUAAUGUUGAAAAAUUAGCGGAUGACUUGUGGCUGGGGGUGAAAGGCCAAUCAAACCGGGAGAUAGCUGGUUCUCCCCGAAAGCUAUUUAGGUAGCGCCUCGUGAACUCAUCUCCGGGGGUAGAGCACUGUUUCGGCUAGGGGGUCAUCCCGACUUACCAACCCGAUGCAAACUGCGAAUACCGGAGAAUGUUAUCACGGGAGACACACGGCGGGUGCUAACGUUCGUCGUGAAGAGGGAAACAACCCAGACCGCCGGCUAAGGUCCCAAAGUCAUAAUUAAGUGGGAAACGAAGUGGGAAGGCUCAGACAGCCAGGAUGUUGGCUUAGAAGCAGCCAUCAUUUAAAGAAAGCGUAAUAGCUCACUGGUCGAGUCGGCCUGCGCGGAAGAUGUAACGGGGCUAAAUUAUGCACCGAAGCCGCGGCAGCGAUAUGUAAAUAUUGUUGGGUAGGGGAGCG